This is a long non-coding RNA of Macadamia integrifolia, 236 nucleotides long. RefSeq lists it as uncharacterized. The transcript is spliced from 3 exons. The record is from RefSeq and is a predicted model, not a curated record. Lineage: Eukaryota; Viridiplantae; Streptophyta; Magnoliopsida; Proteales; Proteaceae.
GGUUUAUUGGGUUGCUAUAAAAAACAUGGAUUCACUCUGAAGCAAAAAUUUCAGAGUCCUGCGAUUCUCACGGUGAAGCUCGAUCGAGGUUUUCCCUGAAACAGAGCGACGGAGAUGCUCGCAUCUGAGAAGAUUGCCUAAAACCGAGUUGAUUGAAGGUUGUAAACUUCAUAUCUAGGGUUUACCCUCUUUCCAAAUCAGACGAUCGACUCCAAGGUUUGAAGAACUAGAAUCGA